RNAcentral lists this ribosomal RNA (253 nucleotides) under uncultured bacterium. RNAcentral describes it as "partial 16S ribosomal RNA". It matches the Rfam family "Bacterial small subunit ribosomal RNA", at positions 524 to 776 of the family's 1533-position model. The record is from RNAcentral.
UACGAAGGGGGCUAGCGUUGCUCGGAAUCACUGGGCGUAAAGGGUGCGUAGGCGGGUCUUUAAGUCAGGGGUGAAAUCCUGGAGCUCAACUCCAGAACUGCCUUUGAUACUGAAGAUCUUGAGUUCGGGAGAGGUGAGUGGAACUGCGAGUGUAGAGGUGAAAUUCGUAGAUAUUCGCAAGAACACCAGUGGCGAAGGCGGCUCACUGGCCCGAUACUGACGCUGAGGCACGAAAGCGUGGUGAGCAAACAGG